CGCCGACAUACAGUCAUGACAUGUGACAUGUAUCACUUACUUGUCAAACUUUGGCCCUUGGUUAUUAUACGGUUC
RNAcentral lists this small RNA (75 nucleotides) under Minutocellus polymorphus. Its description in RNAcentral is "partial Betaproteobacteria transfer-messenger RNA". Lineage: Eukaryota; Bacillariophyta; Thalassiosirophyceae; Cymatosirales; Cymatosiraceae. The record is from RNAcentral.